RNAcentral lists this ribosomal RNA (469 nucleotides) under Nesticella hongheensis. RNAcentral describes it as "partial 16S ribosomal RNA". It matches the Rfam family "Bacterial large subunit ribosomal RNA", at positions 1808 to 2619 of the family's 2925-position model. The record is from RNAcentral. Lineage: Eukaryota; Metazoa; Arthropoda; Arachnida; Araneae; Nesticidae.
CAAAAACAUUUUUUAAUGAUAUUUUAUUAAAUAAAACCUGCUCCUUGUGUAUAUAAAAAGCCGCAAAAAAUUUACUGUGCUAAGGUAGCAUAAUCACUUGUCUUCUAAUUAAAGACUAGAAUGAAAGGUCCUUCAAUUAAUAGUUAAUUCUAACUAUGAUAUUUUAAUUUUCAUUAAAAAUUAAAAUAUUUUUAUAAUUAUAAAAGACGAUAAGACCCUAUUGAACUUAACUGCAGUUAAGCUGGGGAAGCUUAAUAAUUAUUAUCUUAGUUAAUUUAAUUAAAUUAAUAUCCCCAACAGAACAUUAACCAAGUUACCAAAGGGAUAACAGCGUUAUAUUUUUUAAAAGUUCUUAUUAAUAAACUAAUAUACGACCUCGAUGUUGAAUUAAUUUUUCUUCCCCUUGCAAGAAAGGGUAAAGUAAGUCUGUUCGACUUUUAAAAAAUUACAUGAUCUGAGUUCAAACCGG